Molecule: ribosomal RNA, 482 nt
Filed under: uncultured bacterium
Lineage: Bacteria
Description: partial 16S ribosomal RNA
Rfam family: Bacterial small subunit ribosomal RNA
Source: RNAcentral
AUUGAACGCUGGCGGCAGGCCUAACACAUGCAAGUCGAGCGGAUGAAGGGAGCUUGCUCCUGGAUUCAGCGGCGGACGGGUGAGUAAUGCCUAGGAAUCUGCCUGGUAGUGGGGGAUAACGUCCGGAAACGGGCGCUAAUACCGCAUACGUCCUGAGGGAGAAAGUGGGGGAUCUUCGGACCUCACGCUAUCAGAUGAGCCUAGGUCGGAUUAGCUAGUUGGUGGGGUAAAGGCCUACCAAGGCGACGAUCCGUAACUGGUCUGAGAGGAUGAGCAGUCACACUGGAACUGAGACACGGUCCAGACUCCUACGGGAGGCAGCAGUGGGGAAUAUUGGACAAUGGGCGAAAGCCUGAUCCAGCCAUGCCGCGUGUGAAGAAGGUCUUCGGAUUGUAAAGCACUUUAAGUUGGGAGGAAGGGCAGUAAGUUAAUACCUUGCUGUUUUGACGUUACCAACAGAAUAAGCACCGGCUAACUUCGUG